AUUGAACGCUGGCGGCAGGCCUAACACAUGCAAGUCGAGCGGAGCGGCGGACGGGUGAGUAAUGCCUAGGAAUCUGCCUGGUAGUGGGGGAUAACGUCCGGAAACGGGCGCUAAUACCGCAUACUAUCAGAUGAGCCUAGGUCGGAUUAGCUAGUGGGUGGGGUACAGGGCUACCAAGUCGACGAUCCGUAACUGGUCUGAGAGUAUGAUCAGUCACACUGGAACUGAGACACGGUCCAGACGCCUACGGGAGGCAGCAGUGGGGAAGAUUGGGCAAUGGGCGAAAGCCUGAUCCAGCCAUGCCGCGUGUGGGAAGAAGGUCUGCGGAUUGUAAAGCACUUGAAGUUGGGAGGCGUUACCAACAGAAUAAGCACCGGCUAACUACGUGCCAGCAGCCGCGGUAAUUC
This 407-nucleotide ribosomal RNA is filed under the name uncultured bacterium. Its description in RNAcentral is "partial 16S ribosomal RNA". It matches the Rfam family "Bacterial small subunit ribosomal RNA", at positions 30 to 526 of the family's 1533-position model. The record is from RNAcentral.